GUAUUUCUCCUGGUUUCCAUGAUCAUUAAAAUUUUUUUAAAUUGAUUUUAGGGAAUUUUAAAAGAUCAGGGUUCCCAUAUACUCAUUUUAUUUUUAUUUAUUUAAUAAAUAAUAUAUUAUAUUUGUAUUUCUGAUGUCUAACCAAAGUUUAAAUGUCCCACAGUGCCUCCUUCGACCACCAUGUUGGAACACAUUGUUCUCAUCCUCCCAUUCUACCAUGGGAAGUCUUCAAAUACUUGAGGUAGUAGCUAUCUCCCUAACUACCGGAUGAUGGCUUUGAGGCUGGUCGGUUACUUUCAACCUGGUUUAUCCAGUCUGCUGAGAUGGUUUUACUGGGAUACAACCACUUGUAUACUACAGAUUUCUUGGAACCACAGAGUCAUUGAAGUCCAGUGGCAAGGAAAAAGUCAGAAUGACUGGUGAUCACCCAGGAUACAGUGGAUGACUUUUGUGUCUUCAACAUGUCAUUAUCAAGCUCUAGGUGCUCCAGAGAGCCGUCUUCAGCUAUUACCAUGAUUAUUGGACAAAUUAUUCUCAUCUGGCCAUUCUGCAGGGGGAGUCUUGACAUGCUUGAGAUAGACAUCUCCCUAAUUUGAGAUCUGACAGAUACCUGGUUUAGCCCAUUUUACUGGUAUAUGGUCACUGUGUAUUCUACAGUUUCUUGGAGUCAAAGGUUAGAGCUAUGGUAGACACAAAGGGUGGAUAAGCAAAAUAAGCCCUGAAAAAAGCUCAGAAACCCCCUUACUAAAGGUACUAGUUUUCCUUGCACUAUAAUAAUAUGUAAUAUAAUAAUAAUAAUAUAAUAUAGGGCCUAUAUAUUAAAAAUAUAAAAAUGAAUGCUUUUAUGGAAAAAGAACUUAAUAUUUUAAUGUUUCCUAAUUUAAAAUUUUUUAUAGACAAUUCUGAUUUCAUUUCAAAGAUCUAGAUAUUUCUAAAUUUGAAUGGCUAAACAAGGUAUUUUAAGUGGGCAAAUAUGAUACAUUUUUACUCCAUAUGAAAAAUUGUGAAUAGAACUAUCUUGUAAUAAUGUAUUGAAAUGUGUUUGAACUUGAAAAAUUUUAAUAUGUUUUGGCUCUGAGUGAAUAAAGAAUUCUCUGAUUCAUCA
RNAcentral lists this long non-coding RNA (1105 nucleotides) under Monodelphis domestica (gray short-tailed opossum). RNAcentral's name for it is "lncRNA (ENSMODG00000032989.2)". The record is from RNAcentral. Lineage: Eukaryota; Metazoa; Chordata; Mammalia; Didelphimorphia; Didelphidae.